UACGAAGGGGGCUAGCGUUGCUCGGAAUCACUGGGCGUAAAGCGCACGUAGGCGGCUUUUUAAGUCAGGGGUGAAAUCCUGGAGCUCAACUCCAGAACUGCCUUUGAUACUGAGAAGCUUGAGUCCGGGAGAGGUGAGUGGAACUGCGAGUGUAGAGGUGAAAUUCGUAGAUAUUCGCAAGAACACCAGUGGCGAAGGCGGCUCACUGGCCCGGUACUGACGCUGAGGUGCGAAAGCGUUGGGAGCAAACAG
This 252-nucleotide ribosomal RNA is filed under the name uncultured bacterium. Its description in RNAcentral is "partial 16S ribosomal RNA". It matches the Rfam family "Bacterial small subunit ribosomal RNA", at positions 524 to 775 of the family's 1533-position model. The record is from RNAcentral.